Molecule: long non-coding RNA, 1473 nt
Organism: Myotis brandtii (Brandt's bat)
Lineage: Eukaryota; Metazoa; Chordata; Mammalia; Chiroptera; Vespertilionidae
Exons: 2
Source: RefSeq, a predicted model, not a curated record
AUAAAACCAGAAUAAGAUUAAAAAUAAAUGCUUGUUAAGGUCCUUAUACAGAUGCUUUAGGCUGUAUAGUGUGAUAUAAUGGGAAAAUUCCCAGUAGCUUUCCUAGUGGGUAAGCUUUAAAAGCUUUUUUUUUUUUUUACCAGAUUUAAAAAUCAGAUAAACCUGGAUUUGAAUCCUAAGACAAGUCUAUCAUACAACUUAAUUCUACUUCAGCAUAUAAAUACAUAGAUAAUUUAGGCCCCAAAUUAUUACGUCUUAGCUGCAAUUUUAACAUGAGAAAAUUUUAAGGUUGACGUUCCCGAUGGCCAGCUAGUGUAGCCAUGGUGAGCGGGGUGUGGGGAGGAGUUAAUGAAAUGCUCAUGGGGCAUCUAUGAUAAGCAAUUUUACUCCUUGGUGAAUCUUUCAAGAUAAAUUAGUUGCAAAAUGGAUAGGGGUGAAUGCAUCUAAAUCAUCCAAAACUGACUGCAAGUCAUUAACAGGCAAGCUGAAAGGAACUGAGGCUAGAAUUAGAGUUGUAAGACUUACAAUAACCAAGUAAAUUGUAAAAUAUAUUCUAUCAGGAACCAUUCUACAGCGAGCAUGUAAAAAGAUAUAGAGCAUCAAAUUAUGGGGAAAUUAUUUUCUUAGCUAGACCAGUCUAUUUCUCUAUUGAAAUGACCACUAGGAUGCAGGUUAUUGGUGGUGCUAAAGGGAAAAGAAGUAAGAUAUUAUAAAGUGAAAAUUAGGAGAAUUUAGAGUUUUGUUGGAUUAGAAGGCAUAGGAGAAAGAAAGAAGAGAAAUGUGAUUUUUAUCAUGAGAAAUGUUCACCACUAGAAGAAUGAUGUUACCCUUAACAAAAACAAGGAAAGCAAGAAUGAUUUAUAGGGGCUGGAGAUUAAUUCCACAAUCAAAUUGAAAUACCUAACAGGUAGCAGAAAAAGAGGCAAGUAGGUAAGAUGGAGUUUGGAGGUCAGAAGAAUAGGAAAUGAAGUCUUCAUAUUGGGUUCCUUCUUCACCCAUGGGUUUUUGUGUGUUUUUUUUGUUUUGUUUUGUUUUGUUCUUUUAUUGUUGGCACUAUCCCCCUUUCCCCUCACUUUGCCCAUGUUUUGUUAUGAAAAUUUUUAAAUAUAAAUCAGUGCACACCUGUAUAUCCAACCAUCAAUAUUCUACCAUUUACUAUAUUACAUUCCUAACCCUCUAUUAUCUCUAUUCAUCCAUUAUUCCACUUGAAUACUUAAGCAUACUUAUCACUAACUUGAGUUCAAUAUUUGUUUAUGCAUUUUAAUGUAAAAUAUAUACAAUGAAAUGCACAAAUCUUAAGUGUACAUUCCCUGAGUUUUGACAAAUGCAUACAGCUGUGUAACCAAACUCCUAUUGACAUAUAGAACAUUACUAUAAUUUCUGCCACCCCAGGAAAUUUUCUCAUGCCCUUUGCUAGUCAAUCCCUGUUCCCACUCCUCCAGAGGCAGCUAUUCUUCUGAUUUUUCUCCCCAA